UGUGUACAAGGGGUGAAGCCUGCGGUUUAAUUGGAGUCAACGCCGGGAACCUUACCCAGGGAGACAGCAGGAUGAAGGUCAGGCUAAAGACCUUACCAGACGAGCUGAGAGGAGGUGCAUGGCCGUCGCCAGCUCGUGCCGUGAGGCGUCCUGUUAAGUCAGGCAACGAGCGAGACCCCUGCCGCUAGUUGCUACCUCUAUCCGAAAGGAUCGAGGGGCUAAUUAGCGGGACUGCCGCCGCUAAGGCGGAGGAAGGAAGGGGCCACGGCAGGUCAGUAUGCCCCGAAACCCUGGGGCCACACGCGGGCUGCAAUGGUAGGGACAAUGGGUUCCGACCCCGAAAGGGCGAGGCAAUCCCUAAACCCUACCCCAGUUGUGACUGAGGGCUGCAACCCGCCCUCAUGAACCCGGAAUCCCUAGUAAUCGCGCGUCACCAACGCGCGGUGAAUACGUCCCUGCCCCUUGUACACACA
This 473-nucleotide ribosomal RNA is filed under the name uncultured crenarchaeote. RNAcentral's name for it is "bacterial SSU rRNA". It matches the Rfam family "Archaeal small subunit ribosomal RNA", at positions 875 to 1347 of the family's 1478-position model. Lineage: Archaea; Thermoproteati; Thermoproteota. The record is from RNAcentral.